CCUACGGGAGGCAGCAGUGGGGAAUAUUGCGCAAUGGGCGAAAGCCUGACGCAGCGACGCCGCGUGAGGGAUGAAGGUCUUCGGAUCGUAAACCUCUGUCAGCAGGGAAGAACGGUCACGGUGCUAAUCAGCAGUGAAUUGACGGUACCUGCAAAGGAAGCACCGGCUAACGCCGUGCCAGCAGCCGCGGUAAUACGGAGGGUGCGAGCGUUAAUCGGACUUACGGGGCGUACAGCGCUCGGAGGCGGUAUGUCAAGUCAAGGGUGAAAUCCCCGCGCUCAACGUGGGAACUGCCUUUGCAACUGGCCAACUGGCGUGUGUGAGAGGAUAGUGGACUUCCCGGUG
Molecule: ribosomal RNA, 345 nt
Filed under: uncultured bacterium
Lineage: Bacteria
Description: partial 16S ribosomal RNA
Rfam family: Bacterial small subunit ribosomal RNA
Source: RNAcentral